AUUUUAAUUUAGUAAUAUUUUAUAUAUUUUUAAAUUUAUUUAAUAUUAUAAAAUUUCUGAAAUGAGUGUGUUUCAUAUAAAAUUAGCGUGAAAUAUUGUAUCUGAUUUGUGAGAGUGCAUUUUCUAUUUUGUGUAUCGCUAUAUAUUUUUAUAUAUUAAUAAAAUUAUACCUGUCUAAAAGUUAUAUUCUGAAAUAUAAUUAAAAUAUUAUCUCUCCACAGCAUCGCGCGGGCCUUUACCUAGUACAAACUAACAAACAAAUCGUGCUCCAAGAGAGUCAUAUUCGAGAUUCACAGUCACAGCUCAGGAAAGAGAGUACCCAACAUUCAAACUGGACGUACCCUCGACACGGGAUGCAGUGGUUACGCUCAUGAAAAGUAGUUGUUCCUUGCAAUCUAAGCUACCGUUUAUUUCGGGGUUAAGAAAAAACUAGUUAUUCCAGGAAUAGGGUUAAGUUCAGGGUUAAGGUGGGGUUAGAGUAUUUUUGUGUUUGGUUGGGGGUUGGAGUAAGUCCAGAAUAGUAAAAAAUAGUGUUUGGUUAGAGUAGAUGGGAUAAGAAGGAUAGUGGGUUAUUAUGAAUAAAAAAUAGUAUUUGGUUGGGGUUUGGUGGGGUUAGCUAAUCCCACCCAAAAUGGACUAUCUCGGGUUAGGUGGGGUUAGCUAACCCCACCCGUUUUUUGGAGUGUUUGGGAUUAAUAUGGGGGUUAAGGGGUUAUUCCACCCCUUAACCUCCAACCAAACAAAGGCUAAGUAGGUGGUUGGUAUAUCUUUUGAAAAGUAAUUUGGGAUUCAAAAGUAAGUUUUUGGCUUAAUAGAACGUUUGAUAAUUUAAUUUUUAAAAUUUAAUUUUAAUUUUAAGUAUCAUAUUUUUUAUUUUCGAGGCCAAAAUUAGAAAAGACGGUUUAGUUUU
Molecule: long non-coding RNA, 910 nt
Filed under: Ananas comosus (pineapple)
Lineage: Eukaryota; Viridiplantae; Streptophyta; Magnoliopsida; Poales; Bromeliaceae
Description: long non-coding RNA (ACOM_LNC037131)
Source: RNAcentral